RNAcentral lists this ribosomal RNA (361 nucleotides) under uncultured bacterium. RNAcentral describes it as "partial 16S ribosomal RNA". It matches the Rfam family "Bacterial small subunit ribosomal RNA", at positions 338 to 696 of the family's 1533-position model. The record is from RNAcentral.
CCUACGGGCGGCAGCAGUGAGGAAUCUUGGUCAAUGGCCGGAAGGCUGAACCAGCCAUGCCGCGUGAAGGUCAGUGCCCUAUGGGCGUUAAACUUCUUUUGUGCGGGAGCAAUAAUGGUCACGUGUGGCCAGACGAGAGUACCGUACGAAUAAGCAUCGGCUAACUCCGUGCCAGCAGCGGCGGUAAUACGGGGGAUGCAAGCGUUAUCCGGAUUUAUUGGGUGUAAAGGGUGCGUAGGCUGUGAGGUAAGUCAGCGGUGGAAUGCCCCCGCGCAACGGGGUGAAGUGCCAUUGAUACUGCCUGGCUGGAAUGCGGAUGCGGAGGGAGGAAUGUGUGGUGUAGCGGUGAAAUGCAUAGAUA